RNAcentral lists this ribosomal RNA (167 nucleotides) under Sporendonema casei. Its description in RNAcentral is "5.8S ribosomal RNA". It matches the Rfam family "5.8S ribosomal RNA". From Rfam's summary of the family: 5.8S ribosomal RNA (5.8S rRNA) is a component of the large subunit of the eukaryotic ribosome. It is transcribed by RNA polymerase I as part of the 45S precursor that also contains 18S and 28S rRNA. The record is from RNAcentral. Lineage: Eukaryota; Fungi; Ascomycota; Eurotiomycetes; Onygenales; Gymnoascaceae.
AAUCGUUAAAACUUUCAACAACGGAUCUCUUGGUUCCAGCAUCGAUGAAGAACGCAGCGAAAUGCGAUAAGUAAUGUGAAUUGCAGAAUUCCGUGAAUCAUCGAAUCUUUGAACGCACAUUGCGCCCUCUGGUAUUCCGGAGGGCAUGCCUGUCCGAGCGUCAUUAC